RNAcentral lists this ribosomal RNA (466 nucleotides) under uncultured delta proteobacterium. RNAcentral describes it as "bacterial SSU rRNA". It matches the Rfam family "Bacterial small subunit ribosomal RNA", at positions 338 to 795 of the family's 1533-position model. The record is from RNAcentral. RNAcentral also lists the same sequence under 1 other name. Lineage: Bacteria; Deltaproteobacteria.
CCUACGGGGGGCAGCAGUGGGGAAUAUUGCGCAAUGGGCGAAAGCCUGACGCAGCAACGCCGUGUGAGGGAUGAAGGUUCUCGGAUCGUAAACCUCUGUCAGAAGGGAAGAACGGUUAUAGGUCUAACAGGCCUGUAAAUUGACGGUACCUUCAAAGGAAGCACCGGCUAACUCCGUGCCAGCAGCCGCGGUAAUACGGAGGGUGCAAGCGUUAUUCGGAAUUACUGGGCGUAAAGCGCGCGUAGGCGGCUUUGUAAGUCAGGGGUGAAAUCCCACGGCUCAACCGUGGAACUGCCUUUGAAACUGCGAGGCUUGAAUCCUGGAGAGGGUGGCGGAAUUCCUGGUGUAGGAGUGAAAUCCGUAGAUAUCAGGAGGAACACCGGUGGCGAAGGCGGCCACCUGGACAGGUAUUGACGCUGAGGUGCGAAAGUGUGGGGAGCAAACAGGAUUAGAUACCCUUGUAGUC